This is a long non-coding RNA of Labeo rohita (rohu), 163 nucleotides long. RefSeq lists it as uncharacterized. The record is from RefSeq and is a predicted model, not a curated record. NCBI's taxonomy places the organism in Eukaryota, Metazoa, Chordata, Actinopteri, Cypriniformes, Cyprinidae. The transcript is spliced from 3 exons.
CUCUGUUUGAUGUUGUGUGAAACCGUGAACACAGAACUGGGAGAUGUUAACGGGCUGCCAGGUGAAAGUGGUUGCAGUCAAACAGCUGCACAGUUUGGAUUAUUAUUUUCGAAGCAUCUGACAGAAACCCCGGCCCCUUAUGUAGGAACUUACUGGAAGCGAG